UCUUGUUUUAUUUUGAAAACCAAAUCUCCAUUGAUAUAGUUCAGAUCUAGAAGAAAAGUACUAAAAUUUGAGAUGUUGGUUCAUAUCUAGAACGAACAACACUAAAGUUGGAGACGACCGUUCAGAUUUAGAACGAAAAGUACUAAAUUUUGAGAUGUUGGUAGAUGGGAUAUGCUCCAAUUAUGAUUUAAUCAGGUGAGUAGCUACUCAGCCUCUCUAUUAGCCUCUUCUUCUUUUUAUUUCAGAUGACCUAAUUUUCUCGACUGUGUUUUGGUGGGAGGCAGAUCUAGGUUGCAAAGGUUAUAAAUAUAUGUCUUGAAAGCAAAUUGAUGAAGAAGUCAGGAUGAUUAUCUAAAGCAAGCAACUGUCAGUUAUGAAGAUUUUUUAGUCUUCUUUCUUUGUAAUUAAUUUGGUAUUCUUC
Molecule: long non-coding RNA, 421 nt
Filed under: Linum usitatissimum (flax)
Lineage: Eukaryota; Viridiplantae; Streptophyta; Magnoliopsida; Malpighiales; Linaceae
Description: long non-coding RNA (LUSI_LNC004836)
Source: RNAcentral